ACGCUCGACACCUACGGGAGGCAGCAGUGGGGAAUAUUGCACAAUGGGGGAAACCCUGAUGCAGCGACGCCGCGUGAGUGAAGAAGUAUUUCGGUAUGUAAAGCUCUAUCAGCAGGGAAGAAAAUGACGGUACCUGACUAAGAAGCCCCGGCUAACUACGUGCCGGCGGCCGCGGUAAUCUGAGCGGGCUGGCAAGGC
This 198-nucleotide ribosomal RNA is filed under the name uncultured bacterium. RNAcentral's name for it is "partial 16S ribosomal RNA". It matches the Rfam family "Bacterial small subunit ribosomal RNA", at positions 328 to 539 of the family's 1533-position model. The record is from RNAcentral.